AGCGUACACGGUGGAUGCCCUGGCAGUCAGAGGCGAUGAAGGACGUGCAAUCUGCGAUAAGCGUCGGUAAGGUGAUAUGAACCGUUAUAACCGGCGAUUUCCGAAUGGGGAAACCCAGUGUGAUUCGUCACACUAUCAUUAACUGAAUCCAUAGGUUAAUGAGGCGAACCGGGGGAACUGAAACAUCUAAGUACCCCGAGGAAAAGAAAUCAACCGAGAUUCCCCCAGUAGCGGCGAGCGAACGGGGAGCAGCCCAGAGCCUGAAUCAGUGUGUGUGUUAGUGGAAGCGUCUGGAAAGGCGCGCGAUACAGGGUGACAGCCCCGUACACAAAAAAUGCACAUGCUGUGAGCUCGAUGAGUAGGGCGGGACACGUGGUAUCCUGUCUGAAUAUGGGGGGACCAUCCUCCAAGGCUAAAUACUCCUGACUGACCGAUAGUGAACCAGUACCGUGAGGGAAAGGCGAAAGAACCCCGGCGAGGGGAGUGAAAAAGAACCUGAAACCGUGUACGUACGAGCAGUGGGAGCACGAGCAAGCGUGUGACUGCGUACCUUUUUGUAUAAUGGGUCAGCGACUUAUAUUCUGUAGCAAGGUUAACCGAAUAGGGGAGCCGAAGGGAAACCGAGUCUUAACUGGGCGUUAAGUUGCAGGGUAUAGACCCGAAACCCGGUGAUCUAGCCAUGGGCAGGUUGAAGGUUGGGUAACACUAACUGGAGGACCGAACCGACUAAUGUUGAAAAAUUAGCGGAUGACUUGUGGCUGGGGGUGAAAGGCCAAUCAAACCGGGAGAUAGCUGGUUCUCCCCGAAAGCUAUUUAGGUAGCGCCUCGUGAAUUCAUCUCCGGGGGUAGAGCACUGUUUCGGCAAGGGGGUCAUCCCGACUUACCAACCCGAUGCAAACUGCGAAUACCGGAGAAUGUUAUCACGGGAGACACACGGCGGGUGCUAACGUCCGUCGUGAAGAGGGAAACAACCCAGACCGCCAGCUAAGGUCCCAAAGUCAUGGUUAAGUGGGAAACGAUGUGGGAAGGCCCAGACAGCCAGGAUGUUGGCUUAGAAGCAGCCAUCAUUUAAAGAAAGCGUAAUAGCUCACUGGUCGAGUCGGCCUGCGCGGAAGAUGUAACGGGGCUAAACCAUGCACCGAAGCUGCGGCAGCGACGCUGAUGCGUUGUUGGGUAGGGGAGCGUUCUGUAAGCCUGUGAAGGUGUGCUGUGAGGCAUGCUGGAGGUAUCAGAAGUGCGAAUGCUGACAUAAGUAACGAUAAAGCGGGUGAAAAGCCCGCUCGCCGGAAGACCAAGGGUUCCUGUCCAACGUUAAUCGGGGCAGGGUGAGUCGACCCCUAAGGCGAGGCCGAAAGGCGUAGUCGAUGGGAAACAGGUUAAUAUUCCUGUACUUGGUGUUACUGCGAAGGGGGGACGGAGAAGGCUAUGUUGGCCGGGCGACGGUUGUCCCGGUUUAAGCGUGUAGGCUGGUUUUCCAGGCAAAUCCGGAAAAUCAAGGCUGAGGCGUGAUGACGAGGCACUACGGUGCUGAAGCAACAAAUGCCCUGCUUCCAGGAAAAGCCUCUAAGCAUCAGGUAACAUCAAAUCGUACCCCAAACCGACACAGGUGGUCAGGUAGAGAAUACCAAGGCGCUUGAGAGAACUCGGGUGAAGGAACUAGGCAAAAUGGUGCCGUAACUUCGGGAGAAGGCACGCUGAUAUGUAGGUGAAGUCCCUCGCGGAUGGAGCUGAAAUCAGUCGAAGAUACCAGCUGGCUGCAACUGUUUAUUAAAAACACAGCACUGUGCAAACACGAAAGUGGACGUAUACGGUGUGACGCCUGCCCGGUGCCGGAAGGUUAAUUGAUGGGGUCAGCGCAAGCGAAGCUCUUGAUCGAAGCCCCGGUAAACGGCGGCCGUAACUAUAACGGUCCUAAGGUAGCGAAAUUCCUUGUCGGGUAAGUUCCGACCUGCACGAAUGGCGUAAUGAUGGCCAGGCUGUCUCCACCCGAGACUCAGUGAAAUUGAACUCGCUGUGAAGAUGCAGUGUACCCGCGGCAAGACGGAAAGACCCCGUGAACCUUUACUAUAGCUUGACACUGAACAUUGAGCCUUGAUGUGUAGGAUAGGUGGGAGGCUUUGAAGUGUGGACGCCAGUCUGCAUGGAGCCGACCUUGAAAUACCACCCUUUAAUGUUUGAUGUUCUAACGUUGACCCGUAAU
This 2200-nucleotide ribosomal RNA is filed under the name Escherichia coli DEC10F. RNAcentral's name for it is "bacterial LSU rRNA". It matches the Rfam family "Bacterial large subunit ribosomal RNA", at positions 14 to 2239 of the family's 2925-position model. The record is from RNAcentral. Lineage: Bacteria; Pseudomonadati; Pseudomonadota; Gammaproteobacteria; Enterobacterales; Enterobacteriaceae.